Molecule: small nucleolar RNA, 126 nt
Organism: Phyllostomus discolor (pale spear-nosed bat)
Lineage: Eukaryota; Metazoa; Chordata; Mammalia; Chiroptera; Phyllostomidae
Product: small nucleolar RNA SNORA31
Exons: 1
Source: RefSeq, a predicted model, not a curated record
UCGCAUCCAGGAAUAGACCUUAAACAAUCUCGUGUUGUUCUUUUGGUUUGCACUGGGAUGCAAAAGAAAAAAAUCCCUGCACUCUCUGUCUUUGUGGCAGCCUGCAUGGAGUGGGGGACUACAUCU